Non-coding RNA from Peromyscus maniculatus bairdii (prairie deer mouse), 736 nucleotides. NCBI's taxonomy places the organism in Eukaryota, Metazoa, Chordata, Mammalia, Rodentia, Cricetidae. The record is from RefSeq and is a predicted model, not a curated record.
GUGAGAUCACAGACUAUGAGAUCACAGACCUGUGUGAUUCUUAUUAGUUCCCGACCGGCCUGGCUACAGAUGACGUAUCUGCUGCUGUUUGUGAUAACAGUUACCUGGGUUACUGUUCAGGGCCACUUCGGCUGGCAACGUUGGCUCUUUACAUGGCUACAGAUGUCUGAUGCGCGGCAAGAGCAGCCAUGAAUCCUGAUCUGGCCUGAGUCAAGAUCCUUAAGAAAAUUAAUGGGGCCCGGUGGCAGCGGUGGCAGCGCAUGCCUUUAAUCCCAGCACUUGGGAGGUAGAGGCAGGUGGAUCUCUGGUUUGCAGGAGGUUAGUUUCCAGCAAGCAAGACGGCCCCAAGCUGUCCUUCCCAUCACCAGUGAGCCAUUCCAGCUGCUCCUGAAGCAUGAAACCUCUAUGUCCUCUUUCUCUAUUUCUGAAGUCCCCCAGCUCCAUCUCACUCUUCCAACCUAUCUCAUCUACAAACUGUCAAAUGAUAUGAACCUCUCUCAUAAGCUUGAAAGAGGAGUACAGGGGAAGUCAGCCACAUGAUCCACCAGCUUCCGCUGUUAAAAGUUGGUCCUCCUCGACCCUGUGUGUGGUUGAUUUCACUGGCCAGAGAAUAGAGAGACCAAGAGCUAGUCCCAACCUGAGCUACAGCAGCACCAGGCCCUGGGAGUUCUUCUGCCCCCAUUUACACAGCUAAGAGACACAUUGAAAAUGCACAAAUAAAAACUAGCUCAGUGGA